AGGCUCGUAGCAGGCCGGGUUAGAGCACCCCCUUGACAUGGUGGGGGUCGUUGGUUCGAGUCCAAAUCGGAGCCUACCA
RNAcentral lists this transfer RNA (79 nucleotides) under Burkholderia dolosa AU0158. RNAcentral describes it as "tRNA-Val". Lineage: Bacteria; Pseudomonadati; Pseudomonadota; Betaproteobacteria; Burkholderiales; Burkholderiaceae. The record is from RNAcentral.